GAUGAACGCUAGCGGCAGGCCUAACACAUGCAAGUCGAGGGAUAAGCCUUCGGGCUAGGACCGGCGCACGGGUGCGUAACGCGUAUACAAUCUGCCUUUUAUCCGGGGGAUAGCCCGAAGAAAUUUGGAUUAAUACCCCAUGGUAUAAGAGCACGGCAUCGUGCACUUAUUAAAGCUACGGCGGUAAAAGAUGAGUAUGCGUUCUAUUAGCUAGUUGGAGAGGUAACGGCUCCCCAAGGCGACGAUAGAUAGGGGGUCUGAGAGGGAUGUCCCCCACACUGGUACUGAGAUACGGACCAGACUCCUACGGGAGGCAGCAGUGAGGAAUAUUGGACAAUGGUCGGAAGACUGAUCCAGCCAUGCCGCGUGCAGGAUGACGGCCUUAUGGGUUGUAAACUGCUUUUGUAAGGGAAGAAUAAGGAGUACGUGUACUUUGAUGACGGUACCUUACGAAUAAGCAUCGGCUAACUCCGUG
This 475-nucleotide ribosomal RNA is filed under the name uncultured bacterium. RNAcentral describes it as "partial 16S ribosomal RNA". It matches the Rfam family "Bacterial small subunit ribosomal RNA", at positions 28 to 507 of the family's 1533-position model. The record is from RNAcentral.